UACGUAGGGUGCAAGCGUUGUCCGGAAUUAUUGGGCGUAAAGAGCUUGUAGGCGGUUUGUCGCGUCUGCUGUGAAAUUUCGGGGCUCAACCCCGAACUUGCAGUGGGUACGGGCAGACUAGAGUGUGGUAGGGGAGACUGGAAUUCCUGGUGUAGCGGUGAAAUGCGCAGAUAUCAGGAGGAACACCGAUGGCGAAGGCAGGUCUCUGGGCCACCACUGACGCUGAGAAGCGAAAGCAUGGGGAGCGAACAGG
This 253-nucleotide ribosomal RNA is filed under the name uncultured bacterium. Its description in RNAcentral is "partial 16S ribosomal RNA". It matches the Rfam family "Bacterial small subunit ribosomal RNA", at positions 524 to 776 of the family's 1533-position model. The record is from RNAcentral.